GUCCACGCCGUAAACGAUGAUUGCUAGCCGUUGGGCAGCUUGCUGUUCAGUGGCGCAGCUAACGCAUUAAGCAAUCCGCCUGGGGAGUACGGCCGCAAGGUUGAAACUCAAAGGAAUUGACGGGGGCCCGCACAAGCGGUGGAGCAUGUGGUUUAAUUCGACGCAACGCGCAGAACCUUACCAGGGUUUGACAUCCUGCGACCGCCUCCUAAUAGGUGUUUUCCCGCAAGGGACGCAGAGACAGGUGCUGCAUGGCUGUCGU
RNAcentral lists this ribosomal RNA (262 nucleotides) under uncultured bacterium. RNAcentral's name for it is "partial 16S ribosomal RNA". It matches the Rfam family "Bacterial small subunit ribosomal RNA", at positions 793 to 1055 of the family's 1533-position model. The record is from RNAcentral.